ACGUCCUGGGAAAAUCUGUUGUUCCGUAGUGUUCUCGUGACACUAACUCGAGAUCCCUGCGAAAUGACAGUUUUCUCUGGGAAUUACAUCGUCCUGAUUGUCGCGACAUGGAAUGGAAGC
This 120-nucleotide microRNA precursor is filed under the name Gallid alphaherpesvirus 2. RNAcentral describes it as "microRNA mdv1-mir-M6 precursor". Its record names the gene mdv1-mir-M6. The record is from miRBase by way of RNAcentral. Lineage: Duplodnaviria; Heunggongvirae; Peploviricota; Herviviricetes; Herpesvirales; Orthoherpesviridae.